AGCGAACGCUGGCGGCAGGCUUAACACAUGCAAGUCGAGCGGGCACUUUCGGGUGUCAGCGGCGGACGGGUGAGUAACGCGUGGGAACGUGCCCUCUGGUUCGGAAUAACUCAGGGAAACUUGAGCUAAUACCGGAUACGCCCUUUUGGGGAAAGGCUUGCUGCCGGAGGAUCGGCCCGCGUCUGAUUAGCUAGUUGGUGAGGUAACGGCUCACCAAGGCGACGAUCAGUAGCAGGUCUGAGAGGAUGAUCAGCCACACUGGGACUGAGACACGGCCCAGACUCCUACGGGAGGCAGCAGUGGGGAAUAUUGGACAAUGGGCGCAAGCCUGAUCCAGCCAUGCCGCGUGAGUGAUGAAGGCCUUAGGGUUGUAAAGCUCUUUUAUCCGGGACGAUAAUGACGGUACCGGAGGAAUAAGCCCCGGCUAACUUCGUG
This 435-nucleotide ribosomal RNA is filed under the name uncultured bacterium. Its description in RNAcentral is "partial 16S ribosomal RNA". It matches the Rfam family "Bacterial small subunit ribosomal RNA", at positions 29 to 507 of the family's 1533-position model. The record is from RNAcentral.